CCGAAUCCCAUCUCCCGCGAGAUAACGAGAGUUUGCGGAAGGUCGAUGACUGGUCCUACUCGACGAUCCACUACUGUGCUGAAGCCGUCACCGACGAGGAGUUCCGUGCAGGGAUGAAGGCCGUCUUCGACUCCACUGGGGAAAAGGGUGAGAACCUAAUGAGAAGGGCCAUCCUCGUCCGCGGCGUCCACCUAGGCAGCUCCAAGCAGUUUCUCCUCGACCACUUCACCACCUACGGCCCCAUCAACGAAUGCAUCCUCGUCAUCAAUGCCGCCGGAAAAGGCAUGAGCCUCGCCUUGCUCAUCUUCAAGACCCAGGCCGGUGCCCUCGCGGCCGUCGACAAGCCCACCAAGUUCGUCAAUGGAUCCCUGACCCACUCUCAGUUCGUCGUCGCCGGCGGCUGCUAUCCACCUCCGAGGAUCCAUCCUGCCGGCACUGAGGUAUACGUCAGCAACCUCCUCCCAAAUCAUCCCUCUCUUCAUACUCUCCGAGAGGAAUUUCUCAACUAUGGGGAUAUACAUUUUGGCCCUGCCCGCUAUGCCAUGCCCCCGGGGUUUGUCUACAUCAUAUAUGCUACACCAGAAGAGGCAAAUGCAGCAACCCAGCAGCCCAGUAAGAUCGUUGCCGGCCGCCCUCUGUUUUGCAGUUCAACAAGGGAUGAAGUUCUCAAGGCCGCCCGCGAGAACGUGAAGGGUAUACUGGACAAGUAUCGGACUGAGGCACUGGCUGCCUUCUCCAAGCCCCACCCAGCCAACACCACAGUUUACAUCACCCACGUCAACCGUGACUGUGAUCCACACAAGCUCAAGGACCUAUUUGCUGAGUUUGGCGAGAUCUUCGCCGGUCCCAUAAAGAUUGAUGCGAAGAGGAAUGUUUGUCUUGUCAUCUACAAGACCGAGGAGGGCAAAAAGAUGGCACUCCAAGAUCCCUGGAAACUAAUCAAUGGUCACAAGAUACAUUGCUCUGCAGACACUCUAGCAAUUGAGCAGGAGGCGGAGAAGUUG
RNAcentral lists this unclassified non-coding RNA (1004 nucleotides) under Hevea brasiliensis (rubber tree). Lineage: Eukaryota; Viridiplantae; Streptophyta; Magnoliopsida; Malpighiales; Euphorbiaceae. The record is from RNAcentral.